AGCUUCGCAGUAUGAGACGCUAACCUUACUGUGUGGAAAGACUCUCAUCAGCAGCAUGCGAGUAUGAAACGAUAACCUUCAUAGAUGGGAAGACUCUCAUCAAGUAUCAAGAUUACACUUUCUCAUUUACUGGACCAAAACGCAGCCACGGGAAAAAAUUAUAUCUACGAUGUUCCAAGCAUCAGAGCACUGAUUGUAAAGCAAGUUUAAAGUUAAACACAUCAGGAGAAAUAUUAUGGGCUAAAGUUGAACACAAUCAUGUUCGGCCAUUACUAACAAAAAUAUCGGACGGGAGAUACGUUUAUAUUCGUAAUUAAAGUAGUCGUUAGUGCCAGAUUUAGGUUUAGUAUUAUAUUAUCGUUUAGGAAUUUUUAUAAAAAAAGGAAUUUUAUGUCAAAAUUUGAAUGAAUGAUAAUGUGGAGGAAUAACAUUAAUAGUAAGUAUAAUUAAAUGUAAAAGUAGGUAAAUAAAAUCCGGCCAAGUGCGAGUCGGACUCACGCACCAAAAAAACCGAUUUUUUAUUGUGUGGUCACUUUGAAACUUAUCAUCAUGAUCGAAUGAUAAUGUGAAGGAAGAACAGUUCAUAAAUAUAAUGAUAUGGCGGGGUAUAACGCAUUUCAUUAAAGAAACGAAUCUUAAAUGGCGGCGCUUAUCAUUCCCUCUCGCACACGGCCGUACGGCAUGCAAAAAAAAUAGGGAAAAGUAAAAUAACUAAAAUGUAUUUGAUUUUCCCUAUAAUUAUUUUUAUCAUAAAUUAACAAUGACAAUUAUGUAUUUAUUUAUUUAUUGAUUCCAUUACAAGUAAUUGACAGGUUUACAAUUUGCGAUAAGAAAUAAUGUUUUAUUGGAAUUUGACAUAAUAUGUUCUUUGGGAAAAGUUGUUCAGUUUAAUGGGCUCAUUACGAGUAUUAUGGAGAUUUUAAUUUGGAAUACACAAACACCACAAAAAAAGUUUGUGAACAAACAAAUUGAAAUAAUUAAUAAAAUAAUUAUCCAUUUACGUUAUUUUUAUUUUCUUUUUUGCUGACCCUACCAUAUGUCAGUCUCAGCUUUGGCCGCCAUUCAAGAUUCGUUUCUUGAAUGAAACGCGUUAUAAAUAUUAUAUAAAAUAUUUUCAGCAACAUACGAGUAUGAAACGAUAACCUUCGUAGAUGGGAAGACUCUCGUCAAGUAUCAAGAUUACACGUUCUCGUUUACUGGACCGAGAUACAGAAGUGGGAAUAAAUUAUAUCUACGAUGUUCCAAGCAUAGGAGCAAUUGUAAAGUCCGACUAAAGCUGAAUACAUCAGGAGCAUUAACAAAACUGGCUAAUGUUGAACACAAUCAUGAUCCGCCAUUAUUAAGGAAAUUAUCGGACGGGAGAUAUUUUAAAAUUCAGUAGUCGUUAGUGUCACGUUUUGGUUUAUAUCGUUUGCACUAAAGAAGUUUAAUAAAAAAAUGUAAAUUUGAUUCAAUGAUAAUGUGAACGAACAGAAAUAGGAAGUAUACUUAACUAAAUGUUAAAAUAAUUUAAAAGAAUUAUUAUUCAUACCACCCAUACCUAUAUUUAGUCACGGUGGGUUAUUGUGAACAGGGUAAUUGUAAACAACUAACAAGAUUAUUUUUCUAUAAUCGGUCCGAUUAAUUUCCAAACGUGGGAAAAACCAAUAUCGGAUCUAUAAUAUGAAAUUUUUUCCUUGUUUACAAUUACCCACAUUGGCCCUACCCAUAUUCAUAAAAUAAAAUAGUUGAAUUUGAAUAUUUACAGCAGCUUCCCAAUAUGAGACGCUAACCUUAAUGAGUGGAAAGACUCUUAUCAAGUAUCAAGAUUACACAUUCUCAUAUAAUGGACCGAGAGACAGUCACGGAAAUAGAUUAUAUUUGUAUUGUUCUAAGUAUAAGAGCAAGUGUAAAGCACGACUGAAAUUAAACAAGGCAGGAGAAAUAAUAAUGGCUAAUGUUGAACACAAUCAUGUUCCGCCAUUACUAAAGAAAUUGUCGAACGGGAGAUAUCUUAAAGUGAUGUAGUGUUAAGUGUAAAAUUUUGUCACCGUAUGUCUUUUUAAAUAGGGAAUUUUAUGAAUAAAAACUUGCGUAUGUCAAAUUUAUUUUAAUACUGCAGUGAAAUCCUCAUGUUGUUCCCAAAAUUCAUUGGGAGCUCGAAUACCGCCACAGUAUUACAAUAUUAUUGUUAUACUUUGCUACCGUAGCCAGGAAUAGGGCUGCCGGAUACUAGGGGCCUGGUUUGUCCUGAAUAAGUAAUUCCAAUUAAUUGUUAUAGUAGCUGACUUAACAGAUGUUUUCCUGUCUUCGUGUGAACUGUUAAAAAAUAAUGAUUGGAUUUUUAUUGAAAUUCUCUACUACUACGCUACACUUAGCAGUAACUAUUAAUGUAAGUAAUUAAUUUAAUAUGGAUAUUUUUGGACUAUUUAGAUAAAAUAAUAAAUUUUUAUAGUAAAAAAAUGAUACAUGAAUUAUCGGGUAGGAUAUGACUGGGUUAACUGUCUAACAUCAAAAUUGUACCGAUAUGAAUAAAAUAAAAUAUUAUUUUUUGAAUAUUUUCAGCAGCAUGCCAGUAUGACACAAUAACCUUGAUAGAUGGGACGACGCUCAUCAAGUAUCAAGAUUACACAUUCUCAUUUACUGGACCGAGAGACAACCACGGGAAUAAGUUUUAUCUUGCUUGCUCAAAGUAUAGAAGCAAUUGUAAAGCACGACUAAAAUUAAAUAAGGCGAAAAAAAUAGUAGCGGGUACUGUUGUACACAAUCAUGUUCCACCAUUACUAAAGCAAUUAUCGAACGGGAGAUAUAUUAAAAUUAAAUAGUAUUUUAAGAUCCAACGGAAGUUAAAACAUCGAUACGAAUUCAGUACUCGUACGUUUAGUAAGGCUCCUAAAAUGAAACACAAAUAUAACUGAAGGUGUUGUCGGUA
Molecule: long non-coding RNA, 2911 nt
Organism: Colias croceus (clouded yellow)
Lineage: Eukaryota; Metazoa; Arthropoda; Insecta; Lepidoptera; Pieridae
Exons: 2
Source: RefSeq, a predicted model, not a curated record